GGGUCUCAUGUCUAGUAUAGCACUUUAUACUGUGAAACUGCGAAUGGCUCAUUAAAUCAGUUAUCGUUUAUUUGAUAGUACCUUACUACAUGGAUACCUGUGGUAAUUCUAGAGCUAAUACAUGCUAAAAACCCCGACUUCGGAAGGGGUGUAUUUAUUAGAUAAAAAACCAAUGCCCUUCGGGGCUCCUUGGUGAUUCAUAAUAACUUAACGAAUCGCAUGGCCUUGCGCCGGCGAUGGUUCAUUCAAAUUUCUGCCCUAUCAACUUUCGAUGGUAGGAUAGUGGCCUACCAUGGUGGCAACGGGUAACGGGGAAUUAGGGUUCGAUUCCGGAGAGGGAGCCUGAGAAACGGCUACCACAUCCAAGGAAGGCAGCAGGCGCGCAAAUUACCCAAUCCCGACACGGGGAGGUAGUGACAAUAAAUACUGAUACGGGGCUCUUUCGGGUCUCGUAAUUGGAAUGAGUACAAUCUAAAUCCCUUAACGAGGAACAAUUGGAGGGCAAGUCUGGUGCCAGCAGCCGCGGUAAUUCCAGCUCCAAUAGCGUAUAUUAAAGUUGUUGCAGUUAAAAAGCUCGUAGUUGAACCUUGGGUCUGGCUGGCCGGUCCGCCUCACCGCGAGUACUGGUCCGGCUGGACCUUUCCUUCUGGGGAAUCCCAUGGCCUUCACUGGCUGUGGGGGGAACCAGGACUUUUACUGUGAAAAAAUUAGAGUGUUCAAAGCAGGCCUUUGCUCGAAUACAUUAGCAUGGAAUAAUAGAAUAGGACGUGCGGUUCUAUUUUGUUGGUUUCUAGGACCGCCGUAAUGAUUAAUAGGGAUAGUCGGGGGCGUCAGUAUUCAGCUGUCAGAAGUGAAAUUCUUGGAUUUGCUGAAGACUAACUACUGCGAAAGCAUUCGCCAAGGAUGUUUUCAUUAAUCAGGGAACGAAAGUUAGGGGAUCGAAGACAAUCAGAUACCGUCGUAAUCUUAACCAUAAACUAUGCCGACUAAGGAUCGGGCGGGGUUUCAUUGUUGACCCGCUCGGGACCUUACAAGAAAUCAAAAUUUUUUGGGUUUUGGGGGGAAAAUUGGGCGCCAAGGGUGAAACUUUAAAAAAAAUGGAGGGAAAGGGGCCCCCCAGGGGUGGGGAGCCGCGGGGG
RNAcentral lists this ribosomal RNA (1139 nucleotides) under Aspergillus sp. Its description in RNAcentral is "SSU rRNA". It matches the Rfam family "Eukaryotic small subunit ribosomal RNA", at positions 61 to 1191 of the family's 1831-position model. Lineage: Eukaryota; Fungi; Ascomycota; Eurotiomycetes; Eurotiales; Aspergillaceae. The record is from RNAcentral.